Mesocricetus auratus (golden hamster) is the source of this 4665-nucleotide long non-coding RNA. RefSeq lists it as uncharacterized. The record is from RefSeq and is a predicted model, not a curated record. The transcript is spliced from 2 exons. Lineage: Eukaryota; Metazoa; Chordata; Mammalia; Rodentia; Cricetidae.
CGCUUGUCCCGGGGUCUCUGGGCCACCCAAGGCCACCUGCUCCUCAGUUCAGGAUGAAACCUAAGAGCAUGACGUUUGCGGGUGAAACACAGGCAGCAUUAAAAUGAAUGUUCAGGGAAACAGACGCUGUCACAGUCCUGAUCUUUGUCCCAGUGGGGAAGGGGUUCCACUGUGCUGAGAUGAUGACCCAGGUCCACACAGACAAUCUCAGGACUAUGGAGAGAAGAUCCGUGUAAAACACAACCACCUGGAGCCACAGACGGUCAUCUGGGAGGAAACACUAGGAGUCUGAGUGUAAGCACAGGGCUGUGAAGACUGGAUCCUGAGUGAUGAGCAAAGUCUCUAUUUACAGGGGAGAUUCCCGAGCACCAGGCUUGGCAGUGUGAGCGCCCCCUGCAGGUGGACAAAGGAGCCUAGUGUCUGUGUGGUGCUUGCAGGCCAGGGCCUCUGCUUUAAAGAGAAAUCAUCUCUCCGUGGUCAGCUGGGCAUCAUGCGCCCAUCACCCAUGACCUCCUGUAAACUUACAGGAAACCAGUUCCCAGUCUGCUUCUUGGGCAGAACCUGGGACCUGGCACCUUGGGCUAUUGGGGCCUGACCCUGGGGACUUGGAGGGUUCCUGAUUUCAGACCCGAAAUUACUCACCCUUGUGACUCUGCUUGUCGUAGGCUGUCAGGGAACGUAGGUUCCUUAGAAAUGUCUGCUAGUUGACCUUGGCUUUCCCUGUCUCCCUCUCCCAAUAAUCGGGCUCCUCCUGCUCCAUCCAUGGCGCCCAUGGCUCCAUCCUCGGAUUCUCCGUGUCGCUGUUGCUGUCGAAGAGCACGAACUCCGUGCAGUCCACAUAGCCGACUUCUAUGUACCAGGGCUCCCCGAGGCCGGGCCGGGACACGGCCGAGUGGAAAUACCGCAGCGAGUUCGAGCCUGGGGGCGGCGUGUAGUCCGCGAGAGACCCUGAUCCUCCUUUCGGGACCCUCCUUUCGGGACCUCGGGCAGAUGAGCGGGCCUGGAGGGGAGCAGGGCUCCGGGUUCUGGACCAGCAUGGAGAAAGGGGCGGGGGGGAUUUUGCUGGGCGAUGAGGGCCACUGCUUCCUGUGUGCCCGUCCUCCCAUAAGAGCAGGUUUCCUUCCCACCCCGCACUUACCUGCGCGGGCUUGAAUCAGGGUUCCGGAGGCCGCCAUCAAGGAGAACAAGCAAGGAAGGCUGCCUACCAUUAGGAGAUCUGGGGCUCCUCUAAGUCUGUGCAGGCUCUAUAACCAAUGCUCAGUGGCUCCGCAGUAACGUUCCACCCACGCGGGGCGGUUCACAAUGACCAACCCACCAAUCAUUGUCCAGGACUACACCAGCCAAGGAAGGAGAGCACUGCAUAGUUUUUCUUCAGUGUUCUGGCAGCAGGAACUGGCAUUGGUUAGGCGCUGGAGAAGUGAAGGCCCACAGCCCUGGGCUUCCUGGACAGCCCGGGGCACUACGACUUUGUCCCGAAUACUUACAAUAGAAAUCAAAUGAACUCAAUACUGCGUUCUUUAGAUCGGGGCUCACAUGAGACGUGGCAUCCUCAAGUGGCAGCUGGAAAGAGCUCAGGUUCUUGCUGACUGUCCCUAGGAUUCCUUUCCUACUUGUCUGGGCCUCUCUUGAGGCUGCUCUAGCUGCAGUAGCUGGCUCCCCAAGAGUCUGUCAUGAGGGAGAGAGCAAAGGGGAGGGGAGAACCCCCUGGGCAAGACUCUCAGGGAGUGGGAGUGGCGGCCAGGUUUUGACUCUUAGCAUGGCCAUCAUUCAGUUUCCGUUAUUUAAAAUCUGUACAUGCCUAGCAACAGUAUUCUCACUCCUACAUGAGGAAUUUGUAGAGGAAGCAGUCAAUCCGUGGAGCCCUGGACUCCCUGGCAUGAAGAUGCACCCACAAGUGUAAAGGUUGAAGGAGAAAUGGGGAUGUGAGAAAGCAACAGAAUUCUACAGAACAACUGAGAAUUGACUCUUUAAAGGACAGCACACCAGCUAUAAUGAAAUGAUCUCUAGCAAGAGAGAGCCAUUUAAUUUUCAUUUCCUAGAUGGUAGCACAGGUUUCCCAGUAGGUUAGUGGUUACAAGAGUGUACCUUUGCCGCUUGGUGGUGGCACACGCCUUUAAUCCCAGCACUUGGGAGGCAGAGGCAGGCGGAUCUCUGUGAGUUCGAGGCCAGGCUGGACCGACAGCCUCGAAAACAAUACAGAGAAACCCUGUCUCGAAAAACCUUUUAUUCCUCAGUCUUGAGAAUCUUGUGACUUACAUACCUGGCAGGAACACACCAAUGCCUGGGAAGGGAAGGAGAUGCAGCCUGGAGAGCAGCAGUUCUGAGGAAGCAGAAAUCACAAGCAGAGAAGACAGCACAGAGCAGCAAAGAAGAUGGAGAAGGAGCAGCAGGGUCUGAUGAAGAAGGAGCAAAGCAAAAUCAGUGAGAAGCUUUCCCAACACAGGCCUCUCAGAGAGCCUGGGGGAGAAGUGUGGGCUGGAAACCUGCAGGGCAAGCACUUGUAUGGAAUGAAGAGCAUUUUCAGUAUGAAAACACACUGCUUAUCAUAAUGUGUUUAUGAGCCAUCCAGGAAGCUUGGGUUACCCCACACCACCUGAAAAUAUUGGUAAUCCAAACUUAAAGCACAAAGAUAAUGAUAAAUCUGUGUUGUUCAACACAUUCCAAAUAUAAAACAAUUGUUUCCUGUACAAAAGUUAUGCUAAGUAGAGUACAACAGACCCAUAUCUCUCAACCCAGUACUUCCAGCUAAAUAAUGUUAUGGCAUGAAAGUACUCUCUGCUAUCUAUCCAGGGUGCAAAAUUACAACAGAAUUCUAGUAGUGUUUCUUGUCCAUUGUGGCAUACUAAUCUGCAUUUGGGGAAAAAAGUUUCAGUUCUCCGUAAUCAAUUGACAUGAAUUAGACAAAGUGUUGUAGGGCUUUAUACUGUCCUCAGUUCUGUUUCUAGCUGGUGUUGAUAUACAUAUUCUAUAGUUUGAACUGACAUUACUUGGUGCAACAGUAAGGAAUUUGAUGAUGUGGGUUUUCAAAAAUAACAUUAAAUGCAACAAUUAUGAUUAUGUUUUAUAAAAAAGAGAACUUUUAGAAUUCCACUAUAAAAGCAGCACACCAAUUUGGAUAAUUUUUUCCCUGAAACAAGGUUUCACUGUAUAACAGAGGGUCAUCAUGUACGUUGUGAAUUCUGAUCUGUCCUCUGUAAACCUAUAAUCAUGUUCUCAAGCUCUCAGCAGAUACUAUGCUGUUGGGAACCAUGAAUUUUCUAAUUAUAUUUUACAUGCUAUAAUAUGACUUUUACAUGAAUGAUACUUUGUUUAAAUGCAAGUAUUUUACUCCAAUUACAUUAUAAAAGGUACAUUGUUACUAAAUGAAUUUUGAGUUUAAAAAUCAAGUUAUCAUUUGUUACAUAUUGUUCUUUACAAAUGAACAAGGCCUUGCAUAAAGGCAAGAAAAGAUAGAAAGAUGAAAAUAGUCUUUUUUUCUUAAUGGCAGGUGUAGCUGAUAAACAGCAUCUCCAAACAGCUGUGUGGUGGGGGUAUGCACCUGUAAUCCCAACAAUCAGGAGGUAGAGGCAGGUGAAUCUCUGUGAGUUCAGGUCAGCCUGGCCUACAGACUGAGUUCCAGGACAGUCAGGACUACACAGAGAAACCUGGUCUUAAACAAACAAACACAAAGAAAAAGAACAGGCUAUGAACCAACUGUGCGGGAUUCCUUAUAACCAAGCACCUUGGUUCCACAGAAUGUCUACUGAUCACUUACAUCACCAAUAAUUUAAUUGGCAAAGACCUCAUUGCAAACAGCAAUGUCCCUACAGGACAAUUAAAAUGAGAGGGACCAGAAACUUUCAUCUCCAUUUUUAUGAGCAGAAGAUAAGUCUGUAUUUUACAGUUAAUAUCAGUGCAAAAGUCAAUCUAUUUCUCCCCAAGGGAAAAGAUGUAAAGUGAACACUCUCUUUAAAAAGGAAGGAGGGGUAGCAGUGUGUGGAAGGAUUCUUAUUUAGGGAAUAUGAGCUCCUAUAUCACUUAGCUCAUAACAUCAGCUGAGCCUUCUACUCUGAUGCUAUCUGGAGAGCCCCACUGUGAAGACUGGGGUGUCCAGGCUGAAGAGACAUUGUCAAGUGGUGGUGUGAGAGGAAGACCUCAGCACAGAGUCACUGCAUCUCUGGGCCCAGCCGGAUGCUUGCCCUGAGGACCACAAGAUGCUGCAGGAAAAGGAGAAGACAGGAACGAACAAUGUGUGUGUUGGGGUUGCAGAUUCGACAUCUGUUGUAGCUAUGGGUGACAACUGACACUGGGGACCUCCAUGCUGUGAUUAGACCUGGGGAGCCUGGAGUGUGGCUGGCAUAGAGGAUGAAGGCUCACACUGUGGACCUCCAUGCUGUGAUGAGACCUGGGGUGCCUGCUGUGUGGCCAGCAUAGUAGGUGAAGGCUGACACAGACACAGGAGAGUGUGAGUGUGAGGUCAUUGCAGGAGAGCAUGGCUGAUGCUUCUGCUUUGCAGCCCUUGAGGUGACACCUUCCCUGAGCCCUGCUGCUGUGCUCCAGGCUUCACAGGCUGUGUAGAGCCCUCUGUGAAGUCUAAUUCUCUCCUUGGUCCACUGGGAACCUCAGUCCUUAGAGCCCCAACACUGAUGUAUCCAGAUUUAGAAGAUGUUCCUCUGUUGAUUGUGA